Molecule: long non-coding RNA, 1194 nt
Filed under: Papio anubis (olive baboon)
Lineage: Eukaryota; Metazoa; Chordata; Mammalia; Primates; Cercopithecidae
Description: lncRNA (ENSPANG00000047054.1)
Source: RNAcentral
UUUGCUUUUUUCAACUGGUCUCAUUCUCGAGACCGUAAUCCCGUGUGGGCUCAGUUGGGAUAGGUGAGUCUAGGAGGGUCUCACUUGCACAUUUGAAGUAUCAUUUGCAAUUCUGGGAGUGACUGGGACAGCUCACUUCUCUUUUUCACACGGUCUUCCAUUCGGGUCUUUUUUACAGCAUACUAACUACUGAGUUCCAAGAAAAUGGGAGCAGGAGUCACAAGGCCCCUUGAAGCUGAGGCUCAGAAGCCUGCACAGAGACACAGCCAUUGCAGUGUUUAAACCAAAGCCAGUCACUUGGCCAGCCCAGAGAUGGAGUCUUGCUCUGUCACCCAGGCUGGAGUGCAGUGGCGCGAGCUCAGCUCACUGCAACUCCGUCUCCCAAGUUCAAGUGAUUCUCCUGCCUCAGCCUCCCGAGUAGCUGGGAUUACAUGCACCUGCCACCACACUCAGACGGAGUCUUGCUUUGUCAUCCAGGCUGGAGUAUAAUGAUGGAAUCUCGGCUCACUGCAACCUCUGCCUGCCUCCCAGGUUCAAGCAAUUACCAGGCCUCAGCCUCCUGAGUAGCUGACAGGUGCACACCGUGCCUGGCUAAUUUUUUUGUAUUUUUAGUAGAGAUGGGGUUUCACCAUGUUGACCAGGCUGGUCUUGAACUCCUGACCUCAAGUGAUCUGCCCACCUCGGCCUCCCAAAGUGCAGGGACUACAGGUGUGAGCCACUGUGCCUGGUCAUUAUUCUAAUCUUCAUUACCAUGCAUUUGUUUGCUUGCUAACUUUAUAUAAAUAAAAUCAUACAGUAUAUACUUUUGGAGUCUGGGUUUUCUCCUAAUAUAAUAUUCUUGACCCAAGUGUUAUUUAAUAACGUGUGUUUUAAUUUCUAGGUGAAAAGUCCUUUUUGGUUUUUGAUCUUGUUAAUUUUUGCAUUUUAGUCAAAGAAUAUUAUGUAUAUUAUUUCCUCUUCUUUUUUUAAAACAACCAAGUAAUCAAGUUUUAGUUAGUAUCAGCAGCAUGUUUGCCAUUUUCCAGUGCUUCUCAUCCCUUCAUGCAUUACCAUACUUCCAUCUGAAAUAAUUUCUAUUUUGCCAAAAGAACUUAAUUUGGUAUUUCUUUUAGUUUAGACUUGCUGACUAUGAAUUCUCUUAGGUUUUGUUUGUCUGAAAUCAUUUUUAUUUUACCUUCUUUCUAGAAGAUUAUU